This is a long non-coding RNA of Phyllopteryx taeniolatus (common seadragon), 1295 nucleotides long. RefSeq lists it as uncharacterized. Lineage: Eukaryota; Metazoa; Chordata; Actinopteri; Syngnathiformes; Syngnathidae. The transcript has 3 exons. The record is from RefSeq and is a predicted model, not a curated record.
GCGGGCACUAAAGUGCCCCCCUCCUACAGUGUGUGUCACUAAAUGUUAGUGCUUGCUGCGUUCACUACUGUGAUGGGUUCAAAGCAAAGCACAUUCCAAAAAGCUGGGACAGGUGGCAAAAAAGACUGUGAAAGUUGAGGAAUGCUCAUCAGCAUCAGGAAUGCUGACCCAGUUGGAAGACCAACUCGAGCAAUGGAUUAAUGAGCAAAGAAUAACUCGGGGCUUUCCAUCAUUCCGGGAGGCUUGACGAACCGCUGGACAUCGGUGUGAACAGGGCGUUCAAAGUGAAGUUGAGAGCGGCGUGGAAGCGAUAGAUGACAGAUGGCGAACACAGCUUUACUAAGAAUCGGAGGCAGCGCCAGGCGAGUUACGCCACAAUUUGUGAAUGGAUUGUGGAUGCUGGGCUAAUGUGUCUGCUUGCACUGUUGUUUGAGCUUUCGCACGGCAACGAGACUGACUCGAACCUGGCGUGUUUGAUUGAGAACUUGCCCAGCUGUUCAUUUUGGACACAGAACACGAGGACUUUGAUGGAUUUGUGGAUGAGGAUUGAUAAAAAAAUAAUAAACUUUGUUCUGUUGGACUGAUCGACUCUGAUUCUCAAUAAUAUUCAAUUAUAAUAUUAAGAAACCACGGCGGAAGCUUAAAAACUUCAUCUUCCAUUCUUUUUGACCUAACAGCCGAACAGGACCAAAAAAAAAAAAAAAAGGUAAGGAGCACAGGAUGAUCAUACACAGCUGGGUUGCACUACAUUGACUCCAGAAAAGCAAGAACGACGACGUCGCUCUCUUUGUACAUACUGCGGACAAGAGGGUCACUUUGUCUCAAAGUGUCCAGUAAACGCCAAGUCUCACCCAGAGCGGGGAAGCUUUCGUGAGCCACAAUCGACGUCCUUCUUCCCAACUGAGACCUCUUUUCCAUGCAGUGGAUGAACUGUAAACAAAAGCAUCUUUUCUGCUUGAAAGGUGCAUCUACCUGUUCUAAUUUACUUCAAUUUUAGGCUUAAUUGGCCUGUUCAGUGUUACUUGAAAUUUAGACCUGAGAUGCCUUUACUGCUUUACUUCAAAUGUUUGCCAGCCUUUCUUUUUUUCAGUUGCAGGCCACAAAAUACAAUUUGUACUAAAAUGUAGGCCUGACAUGUUUGUGCCAGUUUACUGGAUGUAAGUUAUUACUGUUCUUUGUAUUUAAAUGUUUGCUGUUUAUAUGUGUGUUUAAAAAAAGCACUUUGCAUUUCUGUGCUUUUAGGAAUACAUUUAGUCAUGUUUAUGCAUUGUUGUCCUUGAGUGAGAUUAAAUUAG